RNAcentral lists this ribosomal RNA (296 nucleotides) under Testudo hermanni boettgeri. Its description in RNAcentral is "partial 12S ribosomal RNA". The record is from RNAcentral. Lineage: Eukaryota; Metazoa; Chordata; Testudines; Testudinidae.
CCCCUAGAGGAGCCUGUUCUAUAAUCGAUAAUCCACGAUCUACCUCACCAUCUCUUGCCAAUACCGCCUAUAUACCGCCGUCACCAGCCUACCCUAUGAAGGAUAUAAAAGUAAGCAAAAUAGCACACCAGCUAACAAGUCAGGUCAAGGUGUAGCUUACUGAGAUGGAAGAAAUGGGCUACAUUUUCUAAACUAGAAAUCAUUUCACGGAAAGAACUAUGAAACAAGUCCUAUAAGUAGGAUUUAGCAGUAAAUAGGGAUCAGAAUGCCCAAUUUAAGCCGGUCCUAAGGUACGC